AGUGCCUUAUAACAUGUCUUUAUAACUGGCUGUGUAAGAAUGAAGAAAAGCUGUCCAUCUUCUGAGAAGCCCACUUCUCCACCAAGGUGCUCAGUUUUAGGAGUGGAGAACAGGGGCCACGGAAAAUACAUUGCUCCCCAGCUCCCAGCUCUCUUUACUUUCUCCCAGGAAGCAGCAUGUGCCAUCCUUCUGUCAGAAAACACCAAAGAGAUGAAGAAAUGAGAAAUCCAGAAACCAAAGACCUUGCUCUUUUGUCAAACAGACUUGGUAGAGCAGAGUUGCAAAAUCAGACCUUUGGGGGCUUGCGUGUUUCUCCUCUUACUCCCUGGUAAGCCCUGCCUUGAACUUCAGGCUGCCUGGCUUGGAUCCUGAUGCUGCUUUGCUGACACAAUCCAUUCUCCCAGGGAACACCCAGAGUUCCACUCCAGCCCUGGCAACGCUGCAGCAGAGGCCAACUGUACGGAAAGUCUACAUUGGCUCGGAACAAUUGAGGCUGGGAGAGGCUGGUGAUUUCCUGCUUGGUCGUCUUUUAAAACCCAGCCAUCUGAAUCCGAGAGUUGCUUCUUCAGCAAGGCCUCCCCUGACUCCUUCAGAUGUCUAAGCACCACCCCUACUCUUCUGCUGCAGCAUCUCCACUUGCUUUUGUCCUUCAUCUCCCUGAAAUUAUUUGCUUACUCAUCCAUCCAUGUCAGUUGCAAAAGCAUGACUUCCUCUAGUCCAAAGGCCAUUCAUGUUCAAUAUGUUAGCACUCGGAGCGUCUCCAGUGGUUGUUUCAAACAAGGCAAAUGAGUUCAGUUGAACUUUAUAUGUUCUGCCCUCCGACUGUGACUGUUAUUUACUUCCCUCCAAACAAAAUGUAAUAAUAAAAUGACUAACUGAAAAAAAAAAAAAAAAA
This 895-nucleotide long non-coding RNA is filed under the name Mus musculus (house mouse). RNAcentral describes it as "RIKEN cDNA E230029C05 gene (E230029C05Rik)". The record is from RNAcentral. Lineage: Eukaryota; Metazoa; Chordata; Mammalia; Rodentia; Muridae.